Molecule: long non-coding RNA, 218 nt
Filed under: Setaria italica (foxtail millet)
Lineage: Eukaryota; Viridiplantae; Streptophyta; Magnoliopsida; Poales; Poaceae
Description: long non-coding RNA (SITA_LNC007008)
Source: RNAcentral
GAAGAUGUCGGAGUUUGUCUCGUUAGAAGAACCUUGAGCUUUGUAUGUACUAUUGUAUUUGUGUCAAGUACUUUGAACGAUACUUUUGAUAAAUGAAUACUUGGCCAUUGGUCUUGUUGCUUGAAGUUUGUUGCCUAGCGAAGAGUAGCUUCACUCUAUCUUGUCCGACCCAAAGCCCCGGAGUCGGCUGGGCCUGACCCUCUAGGGGAGGAGCUCCG